RNAcentral lists this long non-coding RNA (217 nucleotides) under Homo sapiens (human). Its description in RNAcentral is "HSALNT0345828". Lineage: Eukaryota; Metazoa; Chordata; Mammalia; Primates; Hominidae. The record is from RNAcentral.
GAAGGGCAGGUAGUGGUAGGUAUCCUGGGGCUCCCGGGUGAAGAACCUGUCCUGGAAGAGCUCGUCUAUGAUGCUGGACGCGCGGCUGAAGUGGUCCUGCAUGACAUCCAGCAUGUGCGUCUGCUGCCGGUCGUUCUCCAGCAGGGAGUCGAUGCGGUCACCAUUCAUCCAGAAGUAGAAGGGCGAGCUCUGGUUCAGGAACUCCUCAAGCUGGGAC